This 585-nucleotide long non-coding RNA is filed under the name Homo sapiens (human). RNAcentral's name for it is "HSALNT0320789". Lineage: Eukaryota; Metazoa; Chordata; Mammalia; Primates; Hominidae. The record is from RNAcentral.
CCCCACUCUGUCCAUUUGGUUUCAGAGUUUCUGCAUGUGGUCUCUCUGCAUGGGCUAGCUUGGGCUUCCUUACAGUACGGCACCUCAGGGAAGAUGGACUGUUUAUAUGGCGGCUGACUUUUUUGAAAACAUAUGUGCCAAGAAAACAUGAUAGAAAUAUGUAUUUUUAUGACCUCAUAAAUCACAUAGCAUCACUUUCAACCAACUCUCUUGGUCAAGGAAGUCACAGAGGCCCUCCGUCUUCGAGGAGAGUGGACUUCGAGUCCCCUUUAAUGGGAGGGAUGGCAGCGUUACCCUGUAAGGAGAGCACACGUGGGAUGCUGCAAGAUAUUGUUGCAGCCAUCUUUGGAAAAUAUAAUCUGUAACACAGGACAAUAUGGGUAUGCUGCACACAGACUCGACAUCAGUGCCAUCAUCUUAGUCCGUUUGGGCUGCUGUAACACAAUCCCAUAGACAGGGUGGCAUGAACAACAGAGACUUAUUUCUCACAGUCUGGAGGCUGGGAAGUCCAGGAUCCGGGUGCCAGCAUGGUUGAGUUCUGCUGAGGGCUCUCUUUCUGGUUCACAGAUGGCCAUCUUCUUGCCG